Molecule: transfer RNA, 86 nt
Filed under: Acidianus sp.
Lineage: Archaea; Thermoproteati; Thermoproteota; Thermoprotei; Sulfolobales; Sulfolobaceae
Also listed under: 6 other names
Description: tRNA-Ser
Rfam family: tRNA
About the family: Transfer RNA (tRNA) molecules are approximately 80 nucleotides in length. Their secondary structure includes four short double-helical elements and three loops (D, anti-codon, and T loops). Further hydrogen bonds mediate the characteristic L-shaped molecular structure. tRNAs have two regions of fundamental functional importance: the anti-codon, which is responsible for specific mRNA codon recognition, and the 3' end, to which the tRNAs corresponding amino acid is attached (by aminoacyl-tRNA synthetases). tRNAs cope with the degeneracy of the genetic code in two manners: having more than one tRNA (with a specific anti-codon) for a particular amino acid; and 'wobble' base-pairing, i.e. permitting non-standard base-pairing at the 3rd anti-codon position.
Source: RNAcentral
GCCGGGGUGCCCGAGCGGCCCAAGGGGACGGGCUUGAGACCCGUUGCUCCAUAAGGGGCGCGUGGGUUCAAAUCCCACCCCCGGCG